This 358-nucleotide unclassified non-coding RNA is filed under the name soil metagenome. Its description in RNAcentral is "partial contains 5.8S ribosomal RNA, internal transcribed spacer 2, and large subunit ribosomal RNA". The stretch from base 1 to 120 matches the Rfam family "5.8S ribosomal RNA", at positions 35 to 154 of the family's 154-position model. The record is from RNAcentral.
GAUGAAGAACGCAGCGAAAUGCGAUAAGUAAUGUGAAUUGCAGAAUUCAGUGAAUCAUCGAAUCUUUGAACGCACAUUGCGCCCGUCAGUAUUCUGGCGGGCAUGCCUGUUCGAGCGUCAUUACGCCCCUCAAGUCCCCUGUGGACUUGGUGUUGGGGAUCGGCGAGGCUGGUUUUCCAGCACAGCCGUCCCUUAAAUUAAUUGGCGGUCUCGCCGUUGCCCUCCUCUGCGCAGUAGUAAAACACUCGCAACAGGAGCCCGGCGCGGUCCACUGCCGUAAAACCCCCCAACUUUUUAUAGUUGACCUCGAAUCAGGUAGGACUACCCGCUGAACUUAAGCAUAUCAAUAAGCGGAGGA